UGGUGUAGCCCGGUCAAACAUGCGGGCCUUUCGAGCCCGCGCCCCGGGUUCAAAUCCCG
RNAcentral lists this transfer RNA (59 nucleotides) under Thermococcus thioreducens. Its description in RNAcentral is "tRNA-Glu". It matches the Rfam family "tRNA", at positions 8 to 62 of the family's 71-position model. From Rfam's summary of the family: Transfer RNA (tRNA) molecules are approximately 80 nucleotides in length. Their secondary structure includes four short double-helical elements and three loops (D, anti-codon, and T loops). Further hydrogen bonds mediate the characteristic L-shaped molecular structure. tRNAs have two regions of fundamental functional importance: the anti-codon, which is responsible for specific mRNA codon recognition, and the 3' end, to which the tRNAs corresponding amino acid is attached (by aminoacyl-tRNA synthetases). tRNAs cope with the degeneracy of the genetic code in two manners: having more than one tRNA (with a specific anti-codon) for a particular amino acid; and 'wobble' base-pairing, i.e. permitting non-standard base-pairing at the 3rd anti-codon position. Lineage: Archaea; Methanobacteriati; Methanobacteriota; Thermococci; Thermococcales; Thermococcaceae. The record is from RNAcentral.